This 450-nucleotide ribosomal RNA is filed under the name uncultured bacterium. Its description in RNAcentral is "partial 16S ribosomal RNA". It matches the Rfam family "Bacterial small subunit ribosomal RNA", at positions 354 to 796 of the family's 1533-position model. The record is from RNAcentral.
GUGGGGAAUUUUGGACAAUGGGGGCAACCCUGAUCCAGCAAUGCCGCGUGCAGGAAGAAGGCCUUCGGGUUGUAAACUGCUUUUGUACGGAACGAAACGGUCCUGGUUAAUACCUGGGGCUAAUGACGGUACCGUAAGAAUAAGCACCGGCUAACUACGUGCCAGCAGCCGCGGUAAUACGUAGGGUGCAAGCGUUAAUCGGAAUUACUGGGCGUAAAGCGUGCGCAGGCGGUUUUGUAAGACAGGCGUGAAAUCCCCGGGCUCAACCUGGGAAGGGCGCUUAUGACUGCAACGCUGGAGUGCGGCAGAGGGGGAUGGAAAUCCGCGUGUAGCAGUGAAAUGCGUAGAUAUGCGGAAGAACACCGAUGGCGAAGGCAAUCCCCUGGGCCUGCACUGACGCUCAUGCACGAAAGCGUGGGGAGCAAACAGGAUUAGAAACCCCUGUAGUCC